This 1137-nucleotide long non-coding RNA is filed under the name Salvator merianae (Argentine black and white tegu). RNAcentral describes it as "lncRNA (ENSSMRG00000020393.1)". Lineage: Eukaryota; Metazoa; Chordata; Lepidosauria; Squamata; Teiidae. The record is from RNAcentral.
GCUGGGGGAUUCCAGGAAGGAUUGACCCAAACCUCCUCUCCCAGAAGGGAUUGGGAACUGGGCGGAGGGGCAGGGAAGAGUCCCGGUGCCCGUCUCGCGAGCCGCGUUCCUGCGCAGGCGACCCCUCCGUGUCAUCUCUCACCCAGCCUCGGAGAGGCCCUCUUCGAACGAGCAGCCGGGCCAGGCACUUGGAUAAGCGGCACAAUCCUUUCCCCUGCACCCCUCCGUCCGUUUCCCCUGCACCCCUCCGUCCGUUUCCCCUGCACCCCUCCGUCCGUUUCCCCUCUGCCCUCCGUCCGUUUCCCCUCUGCCCUCCCGUGUGCCCUCCCCUGGUGUGCCCCCCCCGGUGUGCCCCCCCCAGUGUGCCCCCCAAGCCAGGAGCUUUCCUAUCCGGACGCGGGGUGUGAAGGCGGAAGAGCUUUUCGUCUGGCCGAGCUGGCGCGAGGGGGGGUUUCGUGGCCGCGGACCGGGCUUUUUACACGCCGCACGCUGCCUCUCCCACCCUGCUCUCCUCUGUUUGGUUAUCUCCGGGGGGGUGGGGGGGGUCAGGGCGGUCGGUUAUUUCAAAGGAGGUACUUUCCAUCCCCCGAGCAUGUGGGUUUAGGCUUUCCAUCCUGGGGGUUGGCGAAGGGGUGUGUGUGUGUUGUGUGUGUGCGUGAGAGAGAGAGAAUGUGGGGGGGGGGCAUACAUUCAGGUGCACUUUGCUUAGAUUCUCACAGCUCUCCGAUAGAGUGUAGCUUUAACACCGUCCCCAAUUCCUCCCCUGACUUCCACGAGAUUCUUUUGCGAGCCACGAAUGAAAACCGGGGGGGGGGCGGGGGGGCGGCGAAGAGAGGAGAGAGGUCACACUCUGGCACUUUAGAAGGGCUGGUUGGUUGCACAGGUGAAAGCAGGGACGCCUCCGCCGGGCCCCAGCACUGGAGGGGGGACAGGGGAACCGCGCCGGUCUGGAAACUGGGGAACGGGACGUUGAAAGGGGACGGAACCCAAGUUGGACCCUCUUGCGGCCGGGGGAGGGGCAGUGGCUUGGACUGGGCCCCUCCCUCGGAUGUCAGACCCCUUCCACAUUUCGAGGAAGAGACAAAGAGGCUGCUCGAAGCAGAGGCGAGGACGGACUCCAACUCCCGUGGUACCUGA